RNAcentral lists this non-coding RNA (28 nucleotides) under Homo sapiens (human). Lineage: Eukaryota; Metazoa; Chordata; Mammalia; Primates; Hominidae. The record is from RNAcentral.
UGGACAUUGAGAAGGCAGAGCACAUGGA